UACGUAGGGUGCAAGCGUUGUCCGGAAUUAUUGGGCGUAAAGAGCUCGUAGGCGGUUUGUUGCGUCGGCUGUGAAAUCCCGAGGCUCAACCUCGGGUCUGCAGUCGAUACGAGCAAACUAGAGUGUUGCAGGGGAGACUGGAAUUCCUGGUGUAGCGGUGAAAUGCGCAGAUAUCAGGAGGAACACCGGUGGCGAAGGCGGGUCUCUGGGCAACAACUGACGCUGAGGAGCGAAAGCGCGGGGAGCGAACAGG
RNAcentral lists this ribosomal RNA (253 nucleotides) under uncultured bacterium. Its description in RNAcentral is "partial 16S ribosomal RNA". It matches the Rfam family "Bacterial small subunit ribosomal RNA", at positions 524 to 776 of the family's 1533-position model. The record is from RNAcentral.